CGACUACGAGUUUGAUCCUGGCUCAGGACGAACGCUGGCGGCGUGCCUAACACAUGCAAGUCGAACGAGGUCCAUGCAGUGGCAACACUGCGGAAGACCUAGUGGCGAACGGGUGAGUAACACGUGAGGAACCUGCCCCGAAGACCGGGAUAACUCUCCGAAAGGAGCGCUAAUACCGGAUGCCCCCCACGAACCGCAUGGUUUGGUGAGGAAAUGGAUUCCGCUUCGGGAGGGCCUCGCGGCCUAUCAGCUAGUUGGUGGGGUAACGGCCCACCAAGGCAUCGACGGGUAGCUGGUCUGAGAGGACGAUCAGCCACACUGGGACUGAGACACGGCCCAGACUCCUACGGGAGGCAGCAGUGGGGAAUCUUGCGCAAUGGGCGAAAGCCUGACGCAGCAACGCCGCGUGGGGGAUGAAGGCUUUCGGGUUGUAAACCCCUUUCAGCAGGGACGAAUCAAGACGGUACCUGCAGAAGAAGCCCCGGCUAACUACGUG
Molecule: ribosomal RNA, 496 nt
Filed under: uncultured bacterium
Lineage: Bacteria
Description: bacterial SSU rRNA
Rfam family: Bacterial small subunit ribosomal RNA
Source: RNAcentral